This 460-nucleotide ribosomal RNA is filed under the name uncultured bacterium. Its description in RNAcentral is "partial 16S ribosomal RNA". It matches the Rfam family "Bacterial small subunit ribosomal RNA", at positions 338 to 795 of the family's 1533-position model. The record is from RNAcentral.
CCUACGGGAGGCAGCAGUGAGGAAUAUUGGUCAAUGGACGAGAGUCUGAACCAGCCAAGUAGCGUGAAGGAUGACUGCCCUAUGGGUUGUAAACUUCUUUUAUAUGGGAAUAAAAUGUUCCACGUGUGGGAUUUUGUAUGUACCAUAUGAAUAAGGAUAGGCUAACUCCGUGCCAGCAGCCGCGGUAAUACGGAGGAUCCGAGCGUUAUCCGGAUUUAGUGGGUUUAAAGGGAGCGUAGGUGGAUUGUUAAGUCAGUUGUGAAAGUUUGCGGCUCAACCGUAAAAUUGCAGUUGAUACUGGCAGUCUUGAGUACAGUAGAGGUGGGCGGAAUUCGUGGUGUAGCGGUGAAAUGCUUAGAUAUCACGAAGAACUCCGAUUGCGAAGGCAGCUCACUGGACUGCAACUGACACUGAGGCUCGAAAGUGUGGGUAUCAAACAGGAUUAGAUACCCUAGUAGUC